GCACGGGCAGGGGUAACUCUGUCAGUGGCGGACGGGUGAGUAACGCGUAGGUAUCUAUCCUNCGGGUGGGGGACAACCACGGGAAACUGUGGCUAAUACCGCAUGAUGACUGAGGUCCAAAGGCGCAAGUCGCCUGGGGAGGAGCCUGCGUCCGAUUAGCUUGUUGGUGGGGUAAAGGCCUACCAAGGCUCCGAUCGGUAGCUGGUCUGAGAGGAUGAUCAGCCACACUGGGACUGAGACACGGCCCAGACUCUCGCGGGAGGCAGCAGUGGGGAAUAUUGGACAAUGGGCGAAAGCCUGAUCCAGCAAUGCCGCGUGGGUGAAGAAGGUCUUCGGAUUGUAAAGCCCUUUCGACGGGGACGAUGAUGACGGUACCCGUAGAGGGGGCCCCGGCUAACUUCGUG
Molecule: ribosomal RNA, 404 nt
Filed under: uncultured bacterium
Lineage: Bacteria
Description: bacterial SSU rRNA
Rfam family: Bacterial small subunit ribosomal RNA
Source: RNAcentral